RNAcentral lists this ribosomal RNA (469 nucleotides) under uncultured bacterium. Its description in RNAcentral is "partial 16S ribosomal RNA". It matches the Rfam family "Bacterial small subunit ribosomal RNA", at positions 28 to 507 of the family's 1533-position model. The record is from RNAcentral.
GACGAACGCUGGCGGCGUGCUUAACACAUGCAAGUCGAACGGAAAGGCCCUGCUUGCAGGGUGCUCGAGUGGCGAACGGGUGAGUAACACGUGGGUGAUCUGCCCCUUACUUUGGGAUAAGCCUGGGAAACUGGGUCUAAUACUGGAUAGGACCAUGCUGUAGGUGGUGUGGUGGAAAGAUUAGUUUCGGUAAGGGAUGAGCUCGCGGCCUAUCAGCUUGUUGGUGGGGUAAUGGCCUACCAAGGCGUCGACGGGUAGCCGGCCUGAGAGGGUGGACGGCCACAUUGGGACUGAGAUACGGCCCAGACGCCUACGGGAGGCAGCAAUAGGGAAUAUUGCACAAUGGGCGCAAGCCUGAUGCAGCGACGCCGCGUGGGGGAUGACGGCCUUCGGGUUGUAAACUCCUUUCAGCCAUGACGAAGCCCUUGUGGUGACGGUAGUGGUAGAAGAAGCACCGGCUAACUACGUG